GCUGAAGAUCUGGGAGCUUAAGGCGGCUCCAACCAAUCACGGAUGGGCUUUGAGGGCGCGGACCCGCCCACUUCCGUCUUGCGCGGGGUCUCCCGGAGGAGGUGUGGUCCACGAUCUCCGCUAGCUCCAAGGCGGAAGGAUCUGUCGUCCCACCGCAGUUUCGGGAUUCCGUUGUCAAAUAGGAAGUGAAGCCACGGGCCGCCAUCCUUAAGCAAUUCCCGCUAUCUCAGACUCCUGAACCACAGACGGGAUGGUUUAUAAAGAAUAGAGUUCCAGAGGCAGGGAAAUUCAAGAACUGGGUGGUGCCAGCCUUCCUGCUGCAUCUUGAUGAGACAGAGUGUCACAUGGCCAGACAGGCAAGUGUGCCUGCUCAGAUCUCACUUCUUCCUAUAAAGGUGGUGUUUAUGGGAACGUUCAUGCUGGGCAGGUGCUUGUAUAAAGAAGCAAUCUGAGCAAGCCAUGAGGAGCAGCCUGUUAAGCAGUACCCCGUCCAUGGUGGCCUCUUCAGUUCCUGCUUCCAGGUUCCUGCUUUGAGUUUCCCUGCCUUGGCAUCCCUCAACAGACCAUGACCCAGGACGUGUAAGCCAAAUAAAUCCUUUCC
Molecule: long non-coding RNA, 601 nt
Organism: Mus caroli (Ryukyu mouse)
Lineage: Eukaryota; Metazoa; Chordata; Mammalia; Rodentia; Muridae
Source: RefSeq, a predicted model, not a curated record